AGUGAACGCUGGCGGUAGGCCUAACACAUGCAAGUCGAACGGCAGCACAGAGGAGCUUGCUCCUUGGGUGGCGAGUGGCGGACGGGUGAGGAAUACAUCGGAAUCUACUCUGUCGUGGGGGAUAACGUAGGGAAACUUACGCUAAUACCGCAUACGACCUCCGGGUGAAAGCAGGGGAUCUUCGGACCUUGCGCGAUUGGAUGAGCCGAUGUCGGAUUAGCUAGUUGGCGGGGUAAAGGCCCACAAAGGCGACGAUCCGUAGCUGGUCUGAGAGGAUGAUCAGCCACACUGGAACUGAGACACGGUCCAGACUCCUACGGGAGGCAGCAGUGGGGAAUAUUGGACAAUGGGCGCAAGCCUGAUCCAGCCAUACCGCGUGGGUGAAGAAGGCCUUCGGGUUGUAAAGCCCUUUUGUUGGGAAAGAAAUCCAUCUGGUUAAUACCCGGGUGGGAUGACGGUACCCAAAGAAUAAGCACCGGCUAACUUCGUGCCAGCCGCCGCGGUAA
This 506-nucleotide ribosomal RNA is filed under the name uncultured bacterium. RNAcentral's name for it is "partial 16S ribosomal RNA". It matches the Rfam family "Bacterial small subunit ribosomal RNA", at positions 29 to 523 of the family's 1533-position model. The record is from RNAcentral.